Molecule: ribosomal RNA, 253 nt
Filed under: uncultured bacterium
Lineage: Bacteria
Description: partial 16S ribosomal RNA
Rfam family: Bacterial small subunit ribosomal RNA
Source: RNAcentral
UACGUAGGGUGCGAGCGUUGUCCGGAAUUACUGGGCGUAAAGGGCUCGUAGGCGGCCAACUAAGUCGGACGUGAAAUCCCUCGGCUCAACCGGGGAACUGCGUCCGAUACUGGAUGGCUUGAGUUCGGGAGAGGGAUGCGGAAUUCCAGGUGUAGCGGUGAAAUGCGUAGAUAUCUGGAGGAACACCGGUGGCGAAGGCGGCAUCCUGGACCGACACUGACGCUGAGGUGCGAAAGCGUGGGGAGCAAACAGG